GCUCGCUGUUCCGAGAGCGACGGGCUGUCGUGGUCUUUGUGCGGCAUUUCCUGUGUUACAUCUGCAAGGAAUACGUAGAAGAUCUGGCCAAAAUCCCCAAGAGUUUCUUACAAGAAGCAAACGUCACUCUUAUAGUGAUUGGACAGUCAUCCUACCAUCAUAUUGAGCCUUUCUGCAAACUAACUGGGUAUUCUCACGAAAUCUAUGUUGAUCCUGAGAGAGAAAUUUAUAAAAGAUUGGGAAUGAAAAGAGGUGAAGAAAUUGCCUCUUCAGGAAAGAGCCCUCAUAUAAAAUCAAACAUACUCUCAGGAAGCAUUCGGAGCCUGUGGCGGGCAGUGACUGGCCCUCUUUUUGAUUUUCAAGGAGACCCAGCUCAGCAAGGUGGAACAGUCAUUUUAGGUCCAGGUAACAAUAUCCAUUUUAUACAUCGUGAUAGGAAUAGGUUGGAUCACAAACCCAUCAACUCUGUUUUACAGCUCGUAGGCGUUCAGCAUGUGGACUUUUCAAGCCGACCUUCAGUUAUCCACGUGUGACAUUACAGACUCUGUUGCUUUCAAAUGGACCUUGGGAUGUGACCCAAAAUAUCGGAACGUAAUAAUAUCCUUGUGCCGUGUUUAACUUGUUGACUCUUCCCAGCCUUUGAGGAGUUAUGAAAACAUAGAAAGAUCAUGUACCCACCAGCUGAGUAGCAUGCUGAGAGGCAUCAGUUGUCAAAAUUGUGCUAUCCAUUUAUAAUUUUAUAACUUUGAAAGGCUUGUUUUAUAAAAACAUUUUUGUAAAAAAAUGAAUUUUUUUUUCUUGGCCACAGCAUGCAGUGACUUGAUUUAGGAUCUCUGUUCUCAGACCAGGGAUUGAACCUGUGCCACAGUGGUGAAAGUGCUGAGUCCUAAUCACCAGGGAACUCCAAAAAAAUUAAAUUUCAUUUAUGCAAAAUAAAACGUUAAAAACUAUAAAAUUGUAGCAGUUUCCUGGUAGCUCAGCAGGUUAAGGAUGGGGCAUUGUCACUGCUGUGGCAUGGGUUCAAUCCCUGGCAGGAACUUCCACGUGCCAUGGAUGUGGUCAAAAAAAAAAAGCUAUAAAAUUAUAUAUACCAUUUUUUAUUUUAUAUUAUGGUAUAUCCAUUCAAUGAACAUUUUUUGGCCAUUAAAAAUCAUAAAUUCUUUUUUUUUUUUUUUUUUGUCUUUUCGCUAUUUUUGGGGCCGCUCCUGUGGCAUAUGGAGGUUCCCACACCAGGGGUCCAAUUGGAGCUGUAGCCACCGGCCUACACCAGAGCCACAGCGAUCAGAGCCGCGUCUGCAACCUACACCACAGCUCAUGGCAACGCCAGAUCCUCAUGGGUUAAGGAUCUGGCAUUUCUGUGAUGUAGGCCAGCAGCUGUAGCUCUGAUUAGACCCCUAGCCUGGGAACCUCCACAUGCUGUGGGUGUGGCCCUAAAAAGCAAAAAAUAAAAGAAGAAAAGACAGGAAGUAAAUCUACCAGAAUAUCACCAUUAGGUAUCUCUAGGUGGUAAGAUUACAAGUUUUUUUUAUUAUAUUUUCCAUACUUUUCUAUAUUUCCCAACUAUUCUGUAAUGAACAUGAUUCAUUUUUUUUUUUGGCCAGGAAAAGGACUUUAAAAAUUAAACCAAGAGGUGUUCCUGGCUGUGGCACAGCAGUUAAGGAUCUGGAAUUGUCUCUGUGGUGGCACAGGUUCGAUCCCUGGCCCAGCACCCUUGGUUAAGGAUCUGGCAGUGCUGCAGGUGCAGCAUAGGUUGAAACUGCGGCUCAGAUUUGAUCCCUGGCCCAGGAACUUCGAUAUGCUGUGGGUGCAACCAAAAAAAUUAAAUGAAGAAAAUAUUCCUACAUAGCAAGCUCCACAAAGGUGCAAUUAUUUAUCUAGGCACAGUCCACGGGUUUCUAUCCUAAUCACUUUCCUUGGAGGAAAUACAGCAGAUUGAACCUUUAUAGAGCCUGUGUUCAUAGCACCUUGACCGCAGACCCACUAUCAUUUCACUGGGAUUUUGUUGAGAGGGUGGGUUACUGGUAAAAAGAAACAUAUGUUUUAGAUAUUUAAGAUACCUAUUUAAAAUAUGAUUACUGGAGUUGCUGUCAUGGCUCAUCAGAAAGGAAUCUGACUAGUAUCCAUGAGGAUGCAGGUUCUAUCCAUGGUCUUGCUCUAUGGGUUAAGGAUCUGGGGUUGCCGUGAGCUGUGGUGUAGGUUGCAGAUGCAGCUCAGAUCUGGGGUUGCUGUGACUGUGGUGUAAGCCAGCAGCUACAACUCCAAUCGACCCCUAGACUGGGAGCCUCCAUAUGCCGCAGUGGCAGCCCUAAAAAGACAAAAAAUUUUAAAAAUAAAAUAAGAUUACUAUGCUUUUUUUUGAAAGAAAAUUUUAAGAAUUGUUUAAACUAAAGAAAAAAAACAACUUUGUAAUUUAAAUGUACACUGCGGUUUGGUUGUGGACAGCUUCUAUUUCUCAGCCCCAAAGUGCUUUUAAUUUAGUAGGCUAUUGUCAUCUUUUAUUUUUCUAGAGUUUUAAUAUGUUUAGUUGGGACAUAUCCCAGAAAUUCUAAUGAAAAGUACAGCAAGCUUGAAGUGUUAGUAAUUUUUAACAAGUAUAAUUCUGUUUUGAACGUCUAAUACUUUAAUAUCAAGCAUAUGGAGUCAGACACAAAAAUAUACAUUUAAAAUGUCCAAAUAUUUGAAUAUAAUUGCAUGUGUAUAUAUAUAUAUAUGAAAAAUCAUGUUUUUA
This 2728-nucleotide long non-coding RNA is filed under the name Sus scrofa (pig). RNAcentral describes it as "lncRNA (ENSSSCG00005006096.1)". The record is from RNAcentral. Lineage: Eukaryota; Metazoa; Chordata; Mammalia; Artiodactyla; Suidae.